AUUGAACGCUGGCGGCAUGCCUUACACAUGCAAGUCGAACGGCAACGGGCCCUUCGGGGUGCCGGCGAGUGGCGAACGGGUGAGUAAUGCAUCGGAACGUACCCGGGAGAGGGGGAUAACCGGCCGAAAGGCUGGCUAAUACCGCAUGAACUCGGAAGAGCAAAGCGGGGGACCUUCGGGCCUCGCGCUCUCGGAGCGGCCGAUGUCCGAUUAGGCUAGUUGGUGGGGUAAAGGCCCACCAAGGCGACGAUCGGUAGCGGGUCUGAGAGGACGAUCCGCCACACUGGGACUGAGACACGGCCCAGACUCCUACGGGAGGCAGCAGUGGGGAAUCUUGGACAAUGGGCGCAAGCCUGAUCCAGCAAUGCCGCGUGGGUGAAGAAGGCCUUCGGGUUGUAAAGCCCUUUCGGCGGGGAAGAAAUCGGUCAGGCGAAUAGUCUGGCCGGAUGACGGUACCCGCAGAAGAAGCACCGGCUAACUACGUG
Molecule: ribosomal RNA, 485 nt
Filed under: uncultured bacterium
Lineage: Bacteria
Description: partial 16S ribosomal RNA
Rfam family: Bacterial small subunit ribosomal RNA
Source: RNAcentral